This 502-nucleotide ribosomal RNA is filed under the name uncultured bacterium. RNAcentral describes it as "partial 16S ribosomal RNA". It matches the Rfam family "Bacterial small subunit ribosomal RNA", at positions 28 to 507 of the family's 1533-position model. The record is from RNAcentral.
GACGAACGCUGGCGGCGUGCCUAAUACAUGCCAGUCGAACGAACCGCGACUGAGUGCUUGCACUUGGUCAAGGUGAGUGGCGAACGGGUGAGUAACACGUGGGUAGCCUACCUCAUAGUGGGGGAUAACAGUCGGAAACGACUGCUAAUACCGCAUAGGACAUGGAAUCACAUGAUUCUGUGAGGAAAGGUGGCGCAAGCUAUCGCUAAGAGAUGGACCCGCGGUGCAUUAGCUAGUUGGUAGGGUAAGGGCCUACCAAGGCGAUGAUGCAUAGCCGACCUGAGAGGGUGAUCGGCCACAUUGGGACUGAGACACGGCCCAAACUCCUACGGGAGGCAGCAGUAGGGAAUCUUCCGCAAUGGACGCAAGUCUGACGGAGCAACGCCGCGUGAGUGAAGAAGGUCUUCGGAUCGUAAAGCUCUGUUGUUAGAGAAGAACAGCGCAUAGAGUAACUGUUAUGCGUGUGACGGUAUCUAACCAGAAAGCCACGGCUAACUACGUG